Molecule: long non-coding RNA, 3254 nt
Organism: Pezoporus flaviventris
Lineage: Eukaryota; Metazoa; Chordata; Aves; Psittaciformes; Psittacidae
Exons: 2
Source: RefSeq, a predicted model, not a curated record
UGUGUACAAAUCAGUUUGAAUUCCUCUAACAAAGUGCAAAUUGUAUUAGUCCCCACAGAAGCUGGUAAUAGGUUUGUGUCUUCCUUCACUGAAGGUCUGACCUCAUUUCCCUAGGGUAAUCUUGAGGAAAAACUCUUCCUACUAUUUGUAUUACAACAGCACGUAAGGCCAGAAUCCCCAUUGUGCUCAGGGCUGUAUGUUCAUAUGGUAACAGCCCACACUCUACAGACCUUAUAUUCAAACUGAGAAAAGAUGGGAGAAAGGAAGCAUUAACCCUAUUUCAAAGGUAAAAAACCAAGGCACAGAGAAGCAGCAUCUUGCUGGUAUCAAGCCUAUGAAGCAAUGUAAUUCUUUUCAGAAGGCUGUCACCUCAGAUUGACUUUCUGUCACAAGCUGAAUUCUCACCUCUUUUGUCUGGACAACAACCUUUCCCGUUUUGGUGAGUGACAGAUCAGCCAGGUGGCAAUGAAUGGAGCUCACCUCUUAUGGGGUACUUCGAGAGAGCAGUGUUAGGGCAAGUCAGGGUUUGCAGAGGAAGAAAUGAUGUGGCUUUGGGUAGAGUAGGUGACCACUGGUCCUGUUCUUCAUCUCAUGCUCUUUUGGAGACCUGGACACAUUCUGUGCUCUGAUUUCUGCUAUGAGAGGAGAGAAAGCAAGAGAAUCCAAGAAUUGGUGAAGUUGGCUUUGUAAACCUUCAUGCAUAAAUAUCUGGGGAAAUGUGGAAGUAUCUCCAACAGCUCUUCUAGUAUUUGCCAUGUUCUUUUUUUGGCUGAUAUAACUGUUAAUUUUUUGUUACUGCAUCUGUAGCUUGAAUAGAGCAGUUGUUUCACCACUGGUAUAUUGGAAUUUUUCAUUUUUGGACUAAUGAAAUGGUCUAAAACUUGAUUCCAUUUUUUUCUCCCCUGAUGUUAGAAAUCAGUUUAAAUUGUGCCUUUCCUGAAGAAAAAAUAGAGUGGAAAAAACGCAUGUCACAAAAUUCCCUGCCAGUGCCAAUGGUAGUCUGGUGAUCCUGUUCACAUUCUGUAUUUAGCUAUAAAAUAUGGCUCUGUGGAAAGCUGUAUGUUUCACAAGCACUGCUGAUAUUUCAUGGAGGAGAUUGAAGUCAAUGGUUAGCCUCCUGUCCAGCUGGUCCUCAGGUGCGUUGCUACUAAGCCACUUCUAAUGCCAAUACCCAGGUGGGUCAACAGAUUUUCUGGGUGAAGAUACCACCAUUUCCAGUUCUCCUGCUCUCCCUAAAGACCUCAGGCACUUGCCAUAUGGAAGUUCAAGCAGCAAGGGGAGCCUCUGAUCCCUAGAGGCACCUCCCAGUGGUUUCAGCACCCAGGAGGCAAGCUAAGGAGAGGCAGGUUGUACUGAUUUUCAAGGAUCGGAGAUUUGAUGAAGAGGAUUCAUUUCAAGAAAUAAACCUUUUAAAUUAACCGCAAGAUGAGGGAAAUUUCUUUAUUUAAAAAAUGCUCCAGCCCCUUCUUUGUUUCUUUUAUUAUUAUUAAUAUUAUUUUCCAUCCGGCUCUGGGUCAUUAAGGAGGGUCCAGAAGUCACAGAUUGCCUUUCUGAAGGAGGAGAGCUGAGAACUUCGAAUGUCACACAUUUUGUCUGGCUCCAAACCCUUCAUUUAUUGCAACACAAUUUGUUACCUGUGGUUGGCUCUGCACACCAUUGUGUGCUGUGCGCCAGGACUGAUUUAGCAGGGAAUGUCCUCUCCACCUUGAACUUGAGAGGGGGAAAAUCUCUUGAGAGAGGUGAUAGAAGAAUCAUGAAAAUCAGUCUUCCAGCUACUUAAGAAGAGAAAUGCCCUUUGAGGUCUGGGUAAAGUCCCCUCAAGCUUUGACAGGGUAUGGAGUUCAGGAAACCCUGGUUAUAACAAAGGCAGAUGGUUCUGUGAGGGCACAUAUAAGAUGCAGGGGUAAAGAAAUGGAAAAAAAGAAAUCCUGGAACCAACACGUGUCCUGAUGUGCCAUCCUGCCAUAGAAGUGUGCAGAUUGCAGUGGACAAUCGCCAGGGCUGGAGGCAAAGGACGGGUCAAGAUGAUUAAAGGACUAGUGCCAUGUUACCCUCGUCUUCCUUGGCAAGGCUGCAAAGGACCAUCUUUGAGGAUGGUAGUUUCUUUCUGAACCAUUUGGGAAUAGUUUGCUCCCCUCCAGUUCUUCCUGGCCACAGCUUCCUUGUAACUCCCUGCAAAAGCUCCUGCAACCUAAUUGCAAAUGUAGCCUCCCAGUUCCCCAGCAUUCUGCCUGGCUGCAGCAUGGAGAGAGGCAAAAUAAGAUUGCUGGGGCAAGCGUCUGCUGUCUUCCAUAAGAAAACUUUUCUUCUUUAGAUAGGUUCAUUUCAAACCCCAAAUGGUUGAGCCUCUUUCCUAUUUGAACAAGAGCCAGUCCCUCAGAAACACAACUGCUCACCUAACCAUAGGUGACGACCUUAGUUGUGUAGGAUGAACCUGCACCAGAGGCUUUUCACAGGUGAUGUCUGGGAAUGGACAGCUUUUGGGCCCUGGAGCCAUCUGCAUCCCUCGAUCCCAGUGAGGCUUCCUGAUCCAAACCCUAGUGUGGGCCCUCCUUGAAGCCAUCCUCUUUGCAGGAAGAACCUGGCUACUGGUGAGACUACAGCCAGUGCACCACUGUCCUCGGAUGAGAAAUGCAGCGUUUGCCCUACUGGAGAGUCCCAGAACAGGGCAGGUGGACAGCAGCAAUUGCCUGAGCUAGAGGGGAGCCAAGACACCAGAGUUAACAGCCCUCAUCUUGGGAAGAAAAAAAGACACAGGAUCUUUAAUGACCAAAAUGGCUGAGACCUUUGUUUUGUAUCUCUUCUGAAAAGCAAUCACACACAUUUUAGCAGGGGAGCUUUUAUUCUUAUGCGGAUGGGGUAGCCAGCGCAGUGUCCUCUCCCAAGCGCAUCCGGACCUGGUCAGUCCAAGUGCACAGAAGAGCAACAUGAAACAUGUUUGACCUUCACAACUUUCCUUUACAGACCAGCAGGAUAAAACCCUGAAGGAAUUCUCCGGAGUGAGUUUGUCCAAAGCAACGUUCACCACCUCAUUCAAUAUUUGCCUGCAAAAAAAACGCCAAUUAUUGAAAGACAGUCCUGGCUGGGCAUCAAUAGGCAGCCAGGUGUGAGAAGUUGAAGAGAAAUGCAUCUCAUUAAUGUGGAAUUGUUUUUAGGUUAAUAAUCUUGCGUUAAUUUUCCUUUAAAAUAUUGUCUUUGACCGUUAAGCGCUUGCACUGUUAUAAAAAGAACGUAAUAAAUGAUCUUGAAGCAAA